CCAACCUUUUCGAUUUUUUCUUUUGCCACGCUUGCCUCCUACAAUUUUCCCCUCAGUUUUCAAAGAUUCUACACAAUCUGCGACCAGAUAUUCGCCAGUCAUCGGAAUGAUUUUGGUGAUGGUGGCUCAAGAGGUGGACUAGGUUUUCACUUAUCACGGUAGUCCUUGGUGGCGACGAGCAGGGUUUGUGAUGGUACACGAGUAGAAAUUAUCGAUCAAGUUUCGGCGACGUACGAAAGAGGAACGACGAUGCUUUGGCGACAACCCCUUCCGGCGCGUGUCCUGUCCUCUUCCGGUACCAGCCGGAUAGGUGACCGGCGACGGCAACACGCGUCAGCCAGACUUUUUCUAAGAUUCCGGUACUGAGUUCAGUUUUUAUGACUUUAGUUGCUCUACUUACUUAGAAGUUGAGAUUAAUUUCAACUGUCCGAUUGAAGAUUCAGACAUCAGAUCUGUUAUCCGUACGCAGACCGUUUUUGCUGGAUUUGCGAAACCCUAGGUAGCAAGUUUCUAACACCAAGAAGCCUCUGUUCUUUUAUGUCAAUCUUGCCAUGAGGUAUAUGCAGCAGCACAAUGAUGUUAAGCUUUCAGCUCUUGGACUGGGUUAAAAAUCGUGUAUUAGCCUAAUUGACUCUGGUCUUCGCUCAAAUCACAAUGGUUUCUCGGUUGUUCCCUAAUCAGUCGUCUGAUGUUUCAAAAUAUGUAAUCGUACGUGUCUGGUGUUCCUGUGACCGGCAGUACUUUACAGACAAUGCCACACCAUUAAUCAGAAGGUAUACAAAUUUCAUUUGAACGGGUGGUCAUUGGAUGAAAGGUUGUAAAAUGGGCGAGUUGGGGCAAAACAAGGCAACCUUUUUUCUUCUUAUCCUUGGACAUUACUUCAUGAAUCCUCCUACGAUCCUUGGAAUUAAAGGUAUGUUUGUAUAAUGUUCAUCGACGUGGCAUUGCUUUUCAUGUCGUACUUUUAUAUAAAUUGCUAGAAUAGGUUAUCCCGUAAGUUUGAUCUUAUCUCAUCUAAUAUAAAUCAAUCCAUUCAUUCUGUUCUUCUACAUCUAAACGCUAAAGAAUCUUUCUUUGUUGAGUUCAUUCAUGUUAAAGCAGGACGAGGCCAAGCUACUGAUAGCCAUGCUUUACUGAAAGGGUGAGAAGAGAGAAAAUAAGUGGAAGGAUGAAGCUGUUACAAGCCAUUGUACUAGGUGUGACAAGGUAACUGGAAAGGCCCUCAUGUUGGAUGAUAUGUUCAGUCCUUACACAAUCAAUUUCUUUCCAUGAAGCUUCUUGCUACUGUAAUUCUAUGGUUUUGAGUUGGAUUUAAAAACAUAUACAUGCUUAAAGCUAAUGAGUCUAUUUUUGGUGAUAUAUGGAAAGGAAAAGUCAACGGUAGUGAGGUGUCAUGCAAUUCAUUUUCCAAAGGUCAAGUCAUCUAAAGAAUAUUGCAGGUAACUAAAGGUUGCGCUUAAUGAGGAGAUGGAUAUGAGGUUUAUGCGACGACAAUUCAUUUAGUUUUGAAGAGUGAUAAAUCUUUAUGGUUGGAUGAAAGAUUUAGAUUGAGAUGUGUAAAAAGGGUUGAGUUGAAGAUGAAUUAAAGGCAGAUUGAAGUUAUGGAGCGCAGGUGAGGUGCUAGAGAAAAUGAGAAAUAUAAGGGGAAUUGAAGAUAGACUGAAGGUAGAGUGCAAAAGCAAAUCGAGAAAGUUAGGCAACCGAAAGUGGGAAUUAAAGGGAUCUUUAGAACAGAUGGUAAAUGCUGAUGACUAAUAAAAGUCAAGUCAGAUGAGUCACUUGACUAAGCAUCAAGUGAGAAUAGAAGAUCUUUAAGUGAAUCUUUUAAUCUUCAAUUUACAAGAACCUAAAGAAGUCGGUGUUUACUGUUUAGAGACCAUUUUGUAUAUGCUAUUUGUAGAUGUUACUGAAAGAAACAUCCUUAUGUAACAAAGACUCAGCUUCCAUUCCAUCAUAAAUUAAUGUGUACCCGGCCGCAACGCGGCGGGCGCUACUCCUAGUUAAAAUAAUAAAAUAAAAUUAUAUCUCA
Molecule: long non-coding RNA, 2029 nt
Organism: Helianthus annuus (common sunflower)
Lineage: Eukaryota; Viridiplantae; Streptophyta; Magnoliopsida; Asterales; Asteraceae
Exons: 8
Source: RefSeq, a predicted model, not a curated record